AUUGAACGCUGGCGGCAUGCCUAACACAUGCAAGUCGAACGAGCGGAGGACGGGUGAGUAAUGUAUGGGGACUGCCUGAUCGAGGCGGCUAACUACUGGAAACGGUGGCUAAUACCGCAUACUGUCGGAUAGCCCACAUGGGAUUAGCUAGGCGGGGGGGUAAAGGCUCACCUAGGCGACGAUCCCUAGCUGGUCUGAGAGGAUGAUCAGCCACACGGGGACUGAGACACGGCCCAGACUCCUACGGAGGCAGCAGUGGGGAAUCUUGCGCAAUGGGCGCAAGCCUGAGGCAGCCAUGCCGCGUGUAUGAAGAAGGCUUUAGGGUUGUAAAGUACUUGCAUCGGGGAGGCGUUACCCGCAGAAGAAGCACCGGCUAACUCCGUGCCAGCAGCCGCGGUAAUAC
RNAcentral lists this ribosomal RNA (403 nucleotides) under uncultured bacterium. RNAcentral describes it as "partial 16S ribosomal RNA". It matches the Rfam family "Bacterial small subunit ribosomal RNA", at positions 30 to 526 of the family's 1533-position model. The record is from RNAcentral.